Molecule: non-coding RNA, 30 nt
Filed under: Mus musculus (house mouse)
Lineage: Eukaryota; Metazoa; Chordata; Mammalia; Rodentia; Muridae
Source: RNAcentral
GCUAUUUAAGAUUCAGGAGUGAUGUUUCGU